CCUGCCGAACGGCGAUUCGGUAUGUCGCUUUGGUCGCAUGAUGUAGACAGCACAUACGGGUUCUCCUAGAAGACAGCAUAUGCAUUUAUUGUCUCCGUCUUGACAAACGCAUCAUGAUAAGGCGAAUUUACGAUCAGCGUAACCAAUUUUGUACUGUCUGUUUUUAUUAAUAUUACAGCGAAUUGAUCUAUUAUCAGCCUUCAAGGAAGAACAUUAUCCGCGCUGUUUGUUUUCGACAUUUCAAUGCGUGAUAUGAGCGUGUGAA
Cinara cedri is the source of this 265-nucleotide non-coding RNA. The record is from the annotation of a GenBank genome assembly. Lineage: Eukaryota; Metazoa; Arthropoda; Insecta; Hemiptera; Aphididae.